UCAGCGGUAGAGUCCCAGCUUCCCAAGCUGGUUGUCGCGGGUUCAAAUCCCGUCGCCCGCUCCA
Molecule: transfer RNA, 64 nt
Filed under: Nitrospirae bacterium RIFCSPHIGHO2_02_FULL_42_12
Lineage: Bacteria; Pseudomonadati; Nitrospirota
Description: tRNA-Gly
Rfam family: tRNA
About the family: Transfer RNA (tRNA) molecules are approximately 80 nucleotides in length. Their secondary structure includes four short double-helical elements and three loops (D, anti-codon, and T loops).
Source: RNAcentral